ACAUCGCUACAUUUAUGCAACGGGACGAAUUUCUCCAGCACAUCAUAUGCCUGCAGGUUGCAGGCUGGGUUCCAGAAGGCAGAGUCUACCCUAGAUCAGCAUGAGGAGGGGUGUUGCUGGCUUCUUUGGGGGGGAACAGGCUGCAUCUGUCUGAACGGCAGCCUCGGCCUUAAUCUUAACAGAAGGUUCUGGGAAUGUGAUAAACCACUAAAUCCAGAACUUUUCUGAGCUGGGGCGUCUCAUACCCCCAACAGCCUUGAGUCAUUCGGAUCUGGGCCACCUGGGAAGGCAGCUCGCUGCAGCUGAGGCAGUUCCUGAAGAUGGGCGGCACCCAGGCUGUCCUCCGGACGCACUCCGAGCAGCUGGGAUGACAAACGCUCCCCAUUCCUGAAGGGGGCCCUGCGUAGCGCGGUGGUCCACCCGUCACCAUCAUCUGGUAUACUCUCUGUGUUGAUUCUUGGAAAAGUUCCUCCAGGAUUCCGAUGGGAACGGAAGAGGAGGAAGCUUCUGGAUCAAGGGAUGCAAACCCCAGGUAGCAUCUGCUCUGGGGUCUGUCUGGUCAUCGCAGAGGCCAUUUCGUGAGGGUGAAAUACUGUUUUUGGUGUGUGGCUUUGCCUGGGAGAAGAAAGUUUUCAAGGCUUCCACUUGGCCUUCCCAAGUACAGUAGCCAUCACCCCACAAGUCAAGGAACAGAUGCGAAGCUUGUUUCAACUGCCAAGUACAUUUGGGAAACGACCCCGUGGGGGCCACUGUGAGCUGCCCGAGUCAGGACUCCAUUUUUCCAGGGACUCUGAGGUGCCCCCACUCUGCAACGUCACUUGACUUCUUAAGGUGUCACUGGCAACAAGAAUGUGGUGUAAACCAGUGCUCGAAACGUCUGACUCUCCCCCUUUCCCAGAGCACAGCCUCUCAAGUGAAGACACUGGGAGGACUUGGAGACUAACUGCCAUGACGCUUCCCCGGGGGUGGCCAGCGCGUAACCUCUCCUCGGGGAAUGGGUUCUGCAUCUGAAGACUCGAUUCACUUGGAAAAUGGCAAAGGGGUUUGACUUUUAAUGGGGGUGACUUCCCCCUCCCUCCUGACCAUUCCUCCUGGACCUGCAUACAUUGCACAGAUCGAGGCGUAGUCCUUGGUGGGUACCUCCAGGGAUACCGCAUUUCAUUAACAACCUCCGUAACCCUCUGUGGGUUGAAGCUGCCACUCCAGCCUUGCGGGGCUUUGUAACUUUAAUCCAGCUGGCUUGUGACAGUGACGCACCAGAGGUGGCCUUUGUUGGUUCGGAGUUUAGUCAUCCUACUGUAUCUGUAAGACUGGCUUAAGACUGCACCUCCUUGCAUUAGCCCAGCUGCGGAAGAGAUCCUCCGUAGCCCUUCCUAGAGAUGCUGGACCCUUUUCAAUGGUAUGCUCUCACCCGGCGCACCUCCAGGCCCGCAGCCUGUUGUCUGGCCAAAGUCCAACCACUCAGCCAGUUCUGCUUCUGAGAACCUCUUUACUGCCUUCCUCCCACAUAGCGGGAUCUGGGCAUUUCUACCUUACCUAGCACAUGCCAUCACCGUUUCCCACGAUGGGUCCUCCCCACCUCUCGGGGUCUUUGCUGGGGUGUUAAAUCCUCUGUCUUGGAAGACUCCUCCCAAUGUAUAAACGCUUUCAUCCCCAAUAUUGUGACCUCCUUCCCUUUGUCAAGCGCUCAGAGUCCAGUCCCAUGUGGACUUUUCUCGGUGCUUCUGGUCAAUGUUGGCUCGGCCUCACAGCUCCUUUGGGUAUAAUCUCUACAAGAAGCAGUCAUAGAACCCUCGGCUGAGCCAGGGGUAGCUCUGGAGCUUGGAUAACACCCACGUGUACCAGCCUGAGUGGGAGGAAGGGGCCAGGCCUUUAUUCUCCCUCUGGCCAAUCAGAGAGCAGGCACCGCCCAGAAGCGACAUGGUCUGACCUGAGCGACUCUCUUCACCUAGGAGACCCAUCUAGGGCUGACAGCUGAUGGCUGUCUGCUGGCAUCCCUCCCAGCAGCUAGGUAAUAAAAAGCCCAUCAUCCCCCCAAAUGGAUGCUUCCCCACAACCACCAAAGCACACGGAAGCUGCUGCUAAUUAACCAUCUCACCACUCUUCACUGAUUUCCUAGGAGUACCAGCCGCCCUUAAUCUCCUCUCUUUAUUAAAUGAUUC
Hippopotamus amphibius kiboko is the source of this 2162-nucleotide long non-coding RNA. RefSeq lists it as uncharacterized. NCBI's taxonomy places the organism in Eukaryota, Metazoa, Chordata, Mammalia, Artiodactyla, Hippopotamidae. The transcript has 3 exons. The record is from RefSeq and is a predicted model, not a curated record.